GCGCCUGCAAAUCAGGUGCCGGGAUUGGAACCCCAGACCAACUUCAUCGACGACAUUAAGGCGCGUUGGCGCUUUUUUU
RNAcentral lists this small RNA (79 nucleotides) under Salmonella enterica. RNAcentral describes it as "isrK". It matches the Rfam family "isrK Hfq binding RNA". The record is from RNAcentral. Lineage: Bacteria; Pseudomonadati; Pseudomonadota; Gammaproteobacteria; Enterobacterales; Enterobacteriaceae. RNAcentral also lists the same sequence under 2 other names.